This 541-nucleotide ribosomal RNA is filed under the name uncultured bacterium. RNAcentral's name for it is "bacterial LSU rRNA". It matches the Rfam family "Bacterial large subunit ribosomal RNA", at positions 1687 to 2236 of the family's 2925-position model. The record is from RNAcentral.
CCGGCGGAAGAAGCAUUGUCAAGGAACUCGGCAAAAUGACCCCCGUAACUUCGGGAGAAGGGGUGCCACUGGAAAGUGGCCGCAGAGAAUAGGCUCAAGCAACUGUUUAGCAAAAACACAGGUCUAUGCGAAACCGUAAGGUGAGGUAUAUGGGCUGACGCCUGCCCGGUGCUGGAAGGUUAAGAGGGAGAGGUUAGCGUAAGCGAAGCUUUGAAUUUAAGCCCCAGUAAACGGCGGCCGUAACAAUAACGGUCCUAAGGUAGCGAAAUUCCUUGUCGGGUAAGUUCCGACCCGCACGAAAGGCGUAAUGAUUUGAGCGCUGUCUCGACAAUGCAUCCGGUGAAAUUGAAGUACCAGUGAAGAUGCUGGUUACCUGCGCCAGGACGGAAAGACCCCAUGGAGCUUUACUCCAGUUUGGUACUGGGAUCCGGUACUGCAUGUACAGGAUAGGUGGGAGGCUGAGAAGUAGUAACGCCAGUUAUUACGGAGCCGCUGUUGGGGAUACCACCCUUGCAGUAUUGGGUUUCUAACCAGCCGCCGU